Molecule: ribosomal RNA, 441 nt
Filed under: uncultured Caldilineaceae bacterium
Lineage: Bacteria; Bacillati; Chloroflexota; Caldilineae; Caldilineales; Caldilineaceae
Description: bacterial SSU rRNA
Rfam family: Bacterial small subunit ribosomal RNA
Source: RNAcentral
CCUACGGGAGGCUGCAGUGAGGAAUAUUGCACAAUGGACGCAAGUCUGAUGCAGCAACGCCGCGUGGAGGAUGAAGGUCUUUGGAUUGUAAACUCCUUUUCUCAGGGAAGAGAAUGGACGGUACCUGAGGAAUAAGUCACGGCUAACUACGUGCCAGCAGCCGCGGUAAUACGUAGGUGGCAAGCGUUAUCCGGAAUUACUGGGCGUAAAGCGCACGCAGGCGGUCUUUUAAGUUUGACGUGAAAGCUCCCGGCUUAACUGGGAGAGGUCGUUGAAGACUGGAAGACUUGAGGCAAUGAGAGGGGUGUAGAAUUCCCGGUGUAGUGGUGGAAUGCGUAGAUAUCGGGGGGAAUACCAGUGGCGAAAGCGGCACCCUAGCGUUGUUCUGACGCUCAUGUGCGAAAGCGUGGGGAGCGAACGGGAUUAGAUACCCCAGUAGUC